UACGUAGGGGGCAAGCGUUGUCCGGAUUUAUUGGGCGUAAAGAGCGUGUAGGCGGCCAGGUAGGUCCGUUGUGAAAACUCGAGGCUCAACCUCGAGACGCCGAUGGAAACCCUCCAGCUAGAGUCCGGAAGAGGAGAGUGGAAUUCCUGGUGUAGCGGUGAAAUGCGCAGAUAUCAGGAAGAACACCCGUGGCUAAGGCGGCUCUCUAGUACGGUACUGACGCUGAGACGCGAAAGCGUGGGGAGCGAACAGG
RNAcentral lists this ribosomal RNA (253 nucleotides) under uncultured bacterium. RNAcentral describes it as "partial 16S ribosomal RNA". It matches the Rfam family "Bacterial small subunit ribosomal RNA", at positions 524 to 776 of the family's 1533-position model. The record is from RNAcentral.